Molecule: ribosomal RNA, 497 nt
Filed under: uncultured bacterium
Lineage: Bacteria
Description: partial 16S ribosomal RNA
Rfam family: Bacterial small subunit ribosomal RNA
Source: RNAcentral
GACGAACGCUGGCGGCGUGCUUAACACAUGCAAGUCGAGCGAACAGACCAGGAGUUUUCCCCUGUGACGUUAGGGGCAGACGGGUGAGUACCACGUAGAUACCCGACCUAUAAGUCUGGAUUAACGUUGGGAAACCGGAGUUAAUAGCGGAUUAUAUACUGUACCGCAUGGUUUGAUAGGGAAAGACGGGUUUGCUGUGUGUUAUAGAUGGAUAGGGGCCGCCUUAGCUUGUUGGUAAGGUUACGGCUUACCCAGGCCACGAUGUGUAGCCGCCCCGGGCGGGGGGUCGGCCACACUAGAACGGAGGCGCGGUCGCGACUCCUACGGGAGGCAGCAGUAGGGGAGGUUACGGAAUGGGCGAAGGCAUGAUGGUGCAGCGCCGCGUGGUGGAUGAAGGUCUUCUGCGCGUAAAGCUCUGUUUUUGGGGAUGAAGAAAUGUGUAAGUUUCGAUGCGCGGUUUGACGUUACCUAGUCAGAAAGCGACGGCUAACUACGUG